GACGAACGCUGGCGGCGUGCCUAAUACAUGCAAGUAGAACGCUGAAGGAGGAGCUUGCUUCUCUGGAUGAGUUGCGAACGGGUGAGUAACGCGUAGGUAACCCGCCUGGUAGCGGGGGAUAACUCUUGGAAACGAUAGCUAAUACCGCAUAAGAGUAGAUGUUGCAUGACAUUUACUUAAAAGGUGCAAUUGCAUCACUACCAGAUGGACCUGCGUUGUAUUAGCUAGUUGGUGAGGUAACGGCUCACCAAGGCAACGAUACAUAGCCGACCUGAGAGGGGGAUCGGCCAAAAUGGGACUGGGACACGGCCCAGACUCCUACGGGAGGCAGCAGUAGGGAAUCUUCGGCAAUGGACGGAAGGCUGACCGGGCAACGCCGCGUGAGGGAAGAAGGUUUUCGGAUCGUAAAGCUCUGUUGUAAGAGAAGAACGAGUGUGAGAGUGGAAAGUUCACACUGUGACGGUAUCUAAUCAGAAAGGGACGGCUAACUACGUG
This 495-nucleotide ribosomal RNA is filed under the name uncultured bacterium. RNAcentral describes it as "partial 16S ribosomal RNA". It matches the Rfam family "Bacterial small subunit ribosomal RNA", at positions 28 to 507 of the family's 1533-position model. The record is from RNAcentral.